Molecule: ribosomal RNA, 428 nt
Filed under: Epicoccum nigrum
Lineage: Eukaryota; Fungi; Ascomycota; Dothideomycetes; Pleosporales; Didymellaceae
Description: eukaryotic LSU rRNA
Rfam family: 5.8S ribosomal RNA (bases 45-198)
Source: RNAcentral
CCCUUUGCAGUUGCAAUCAGCGUCUGAAAAAACAUAAUAGUUACAACUUUCAACAACGGAUCUCUUGGUUCUGGCAUCGAUGAAGAACGCAGCGAAAUGCGAUAAGUAGUGUGAAUUGCAGAAUUCAGUGAAUCAUCGAAUCUUUGAACGCACAUUGCGCCCCUUGGUAUUCCAUGGGGCAUGCCUGUUCGAGCGUCAUUUGUACCUUCAAGCUCUGCUUGGUGUUGGGUGUUUGUCUCGCCUCUGCGUGUAGACUCGCCUUAAAACAAUUGGCAGCCGGCGUAUUGAUUUCGGAGCGCAGUACAUCUCGCGCUUUGCACUCAUAACGACGACGUCCAAAAGUACAUUUUUUACACUCUUGACCUCGGAUCAGGUAGGGAUACCCGCUGAACUUAAGCAUAUCAAUAAGCCGGAGGAAAGUUUUCCGC